UACGGAGGGUGCAAGCGUUAUCCGGAUUUACUGGGUUUAAAGGGUGUGUAGGCGGGCCUUUAAGUCUGGGGUGAAAUCUCCGAGCUCAACUCGGAAACUGCCCUGGAUACUAUUGAUCUUGAAUUAUGUUGAGGUUGGCGGAAUAUAACAUGUAGCGGUGAAAUGCAUAGAUAUGUUAUAGAACACCGAUUGCGAAGGCAGCUAACUAAGCAUAUAUUGACGCUGAGGCACGAAAGCGUGGGGAUCAAACAGG
This 253-nucleotide ribosomal RNA is filed under the name uncultured bacterium. RNAcentral's name for it is "partial 16S ribosomal RNA". It matches the Rfam family "Bacterial small subunit ribosomal RNA", at positions 524 to 776 of the family's 1533-position model. The record is from RNAcentral.